This 522-nucleotide ribosomal RNA is filed under the name Hyalorisia profunda. Its description in RNAcentral is "partial large subunit ribosomal RNA". It matches the Rfam family "Bacterial large subunit ribosomal RNA", at positions 1817 to 2613 of the family's 2925-position model. The record is from RNAcentral. Lineage: Eukaryota; Metazoa; Mollusca; Gastropoda; Littorinimorpha; Capulidae.
GGCUCUUCGAUUAUUAUAAGAUGAAGAGUCGGACCUGCCCAGUGAAAUAUUUUAACGGCCGCGGUACUCUGACCGUGCAAAGGUAGCAUAAUCAUUUGCCCUAUAAUUGGGGGCUGGUAUGAAUGGUUUGACAAGAGCGAUUCUGUCUCUAUAUAAUUUUAUAAAAUUUAAUUUUCAGCUGAAGAAGCCUGAAUUUAAUUAAAAGACAAGAAGACCCUAUCGAGCUUUAAAAUAAUUAAAAGAUAAUUAAAUAUAUUUAUAGAUUUAUAACUUUUAAAAAUUUUGGUUGGGGCGACCUAGGAACAAUUAAAGCUUCUUUAUAUAAAAAAAUAUACAUAUUUUGAUCCAGAAGUUUUGAUUAAAGAAAUUAGUUACCGUAGGGAUAACAGCAUAAUCUUUUUUGAGAGCUCCUAUCGAAAAAAAGGCUUGUGACCUCGAUGUUGGACCAAAAUAUCCUAAAGAUGUAGUCGUCUUUGAGGGUUGGUCUGUUCGACCAUUAAAAUUUUACGUGAUCUGAGUUCA